RNAcentral lists this ribosomal RNA (253 nucleotides) under uncultured bacterium. Its description in RNAcentral is "partial 16S ribosomal RNA". It matches the Rfam family "Bacterial small subunit ribosomal RNA", at positions 524 to 776 of the family's 1533-position model. The record is from RNAcentral.
UACAGAGACUGCAAGCGUUAUUCGGAUUCACUGGGCGUAAAGGGUGCGCAGGCGGCCAAGUGUGUGAGGCGUGAAAGCCCGAUGCUCAACAUCGGAAUUGCACCUCAAACUACAUGGCUAGAGCAUUGGAGAGGGUAGCGGAAUUCACGGUGUAGCAGUGAAAUGCGUAGAUAUCUGGAGGAACACCGGUGGCGAAGGCGGCAUCCUGGACCGGCAUUGACGCUGAGGCGCGAAAGCUAGGGGAGCAAACGGG